UCGGGGCAAGCUUGUUGGUCUACAAAGU
This 28-nucleotide non-coding RNA is filed under the name Mus musculus (house mouse). Lineage: Eukaryota; Metazoa; Chordata; Mammalia; Rodentia; Muridae. The record is from RNAcentral.